GAUGAACGCUGGCGGCGUGCCUAAUACAUGCAAGUCGAGCGAACAGACGAGGAGCUUGCUCCUCUGACGUUAACGGCGGACGGGUGAGUAACACGUGGAUAACCUACCUAUAAGACUGGGAUAACUUCGGGAAACCGGAUCUAAUACCGGAUAAUAUAUUGAACCGCAUGGUUCAAUAGUGAAAGACGGUUUUGCUGUCACUUAUAGAUGUAUCCGCGCCGCAUUAGCUAGUUGGUAAGGUAACGGAUUACCAAGGCAACGAUGCGUAGCCGACCUGAGAGGGUGAUCGGCCACACUGGAACUGAGACACGGUCCAGACUCAUAGGGGAGGCAGCAGUAGGGAAUCUUCAGCAAUGGGCGAAAGCCUGACGGCGCAACGCCGCGUGAGUGAUGAAGGUCUUCGGAUCGUAAAACUCUGUUAUUAGGGAAGAACAAAUGUGUAAGUAACUAUGCACGUCUUGACGGUACCUAAUCAGAAAGCCACGGCUAACUACGUG
RNAcentral lists this ribosomal RNA (497 nucleotides) under uncultured bacterium. RNAcentral's name for it is "partial 16S ribosomal RNA". It matches the Rfam family "Bacterial small subunit ribosomal RNA", at positions 28 to 507 of the family's 1533-position model. The record is from RNAcentral.